This is a long non-coding RNA of Paramormyrops kingsleyae, 6869 nucleotides long. RefSeq lists it as uncharacterized. The record is from RefSeq and is a predicted model, not a curated record. NCBI's taxonomy places the organism in Eukaryota, Metazoa, Chordata, Actinopteri, Osteoglossiformes, Mormyridae.
AUAUAUUAGUGUGUAGUUUGAGAAACAGACCCUUCAUAGGUCUUCAACUGGCAGCUUCACUAGGUAGCACCCGCAAAAGACCAGUCUCAACAUCAACAGUGAAGAGGCAACCCCUGCAUGCUGGCCUUCUAGGCAGAAUUGCAAAGAAAAAGCCACAGAAUCUCAGAAUGACCAAUAAAAAAGACUGCGAUGGGCAAAUGAACACAGACAGUGGACAGAAGAAGACUGGAAAAAAAGUGCUGUGGAUAGAUGAAUCUAAGUUUGAGGUGUUCGGAUCACAAAGAAGAAUGUUUGUAAGAUGCAGAUCAAAUGAAAAGACGCUGGAGGAGUGCUCAACGACAUCUGUCAAGCAUCGUGGAGGCAAUGUGAUGGUCUGAGGCUGCUUUGGUGACAGUAAAGUGGGAGGUUUGUACAGGAUAAAAGAGAUCUUGGAGAAGAAAGGCUGUCACUCCAUUUUGCAAGGCCAUGCCAUACCCUGUGGACGGUGCUUGAUUGGAGCCAAUUUCAUCCAACAGAACAAUAACCCAAAAACAGCUCCAAAUGAUGUAAGAACUAUUUAAGGAAGUAGUAGUCAGCUGGUAUUCUGUGUAUAAUGGAGAGGCAGCACAGUCCCUGGAUGUCAACUCUACUGAGCUGUGAUGGGAGCAGCUUGACCGAAUGGUACGUAAGAAGUGCUCAUCAAGCCAAUCCAACUUGUGGAAGAUGCUUCAGGAAGCAGUGGGUGAAAUCUCAUCAGAUUACCUCAACAAACUGACAUCUAGACUCCCCAAGGUUCCUUCCACACGCAGCAUACCGGCCGCUCACUCAGAUGGAGCAUCUUCUGAUGAAAUCCUCCGUGCAUGAUGGGAACCUGGAGACCAGGGCCAUGCCAAUGAAAAACGACACCCACUCAGCUAAUUGGGAGGCGGUGGAGUGCAGGCAGAGCAAUUGUGGGAAACAGAGAGCCUGAGGCCCGUCGUGGAACCCCAAGAACGGUAUGGACAGUCCGGCCAGCUCACCUCCUUUCACCAUUUGCCCAUUUCAGGACUUUUUUCAGGUUUUUAAAGCAAACAUUAUGCCCCUUGUCCUCCCCCAUUAUCACAGCUUGGCUUGGUGUCUUUUUUGGUCAAAUAAUAUUUGAUCAAUGAUAUUUAUAUAUUUUACAAUAAGAAAAGAGUCAUCAUGCAUGUUCAGUGUUCCACGUUGAAAAUAAGGAACACAGCACUUUCACACUUCUUCUCACUUUCUCACGAUUCACAAAGCCGAGGCCACAUGCUCCACAGACCUCAGUAUGUUCUAAUAAAAUAUGACCAAAUGAGCUGAGAGCUGGUCAGUUUUACCAAUGUCAUCUGCCCAUGUUUUUGGUCUCACGGGACCUCAGAGUGUCAACUGCAUGUAGCGGUGCUUGUAACAUCUUCCUUGCUGCAGACUGGCCAUCCAGGGUCAAUCCCUGGCCUAGGAAGCAAGAGACCGCGGAGUCCCAGUGACAUCAGGAGGCCCGACUGACCCAUUAAUCAACCGGGGGCAGUCAAGGGUCGCUGGGUGAAACUAAUGAUGCGCAUGAGUAGGGCGACAUGGGGAGCACAAAGAGUCUACCCCCCCACCCCUGUCGUCUCAUGGUGACAAAGAAAACAGCGCAUCAUUCUUAUCUAAAUGGCGUUAUGAGCCUGUAUGCCCAGCUUGGCACCCAUGAGUCGUGAUCUCAGGUCUUUUUCAAUAUGACAGAACAUUCGCCCCAUUUUCCAUUUUAUUCAUGUAAAAUGAAUAAACAGAAGAACAAUAAAAGGACCAUCCGCAGUCACUGAACUGCAAGAGUGCGAAGCAUGACAUCAACAUAAGACGCAAUAUAUCACAGAACUCACCAAUCCUGUAGGUUUACCACAAAACAGGGUGACACACACAUCUUUUCAGAUGUGUGUGUUACCCUGGAUUUCUGGCUUCCUACUGAGGAAUACUCAUCUGACAAACCCCAUACUACAACAUUACCUCAUAAGAACAGGGAGGUGAUGGGGUGACAUAUACGUAACUUCCAGUGACACACAUGAAGGCACAUUCUAGUAUGAUGGCUGUACGCAGUAAACCGACAGCCUGAGGCAGACACUCCGACACUCUGAAAGAACUGGGACAAAGCAAAGACUUUUCCUUUCCACCAUAUACAAAAUUGCUUUGAUUUACUUCUGAGUCAAACUAAAAAAGACUCAGACUAAGGUCACAUUUAACAGAGGUUUUAUGUCAUUAUCAAUAUAUUUUGUCUCAAGGUAAUUUUAAGUUCACGAGCAUAAAAUGUUGUCAAGGAAAUCUGAUACACCUUACACUGUAUAUAGCCUCCAGAAAUUUCAGACAUUUUUCACUGACUCCAAAGGCAUUAAAACAAUGGCUGUGUACCAAGUGACAAGCACCUGGAGCUACAAAUAAAAGCCUCUUUUCAGUUAAAUAUAAGGUCACUUGACAACAGCGGAUAAUAUCACUUUAUGAAAUACUUUAUGUUAUAUAAGCAAACCAUCAUAAAUUUCCAUAUAUAACAUGCUUAACAUCAAAGCACCAGCGAAAUUGCUCACGCAGCUUGCUAGUCCUGCCAGAUACGCAUAGUGCAAAGCACUUCUCUGCAUCAUCUUUACAUUCCGUUUAGAUUUCAUCCCAUUGAACUCAAAAGUAAGCAGUUCUCCCUCAAUGCUACUUAAAAACACUAUCAUUACAAUCACUACAAUCUUUAGAAGUCACAGUGACAGAAGUUCAGGCAUUCUUUAUCAGUAUUGUUGCAGAGUUACUUCCUUAGUAAUGUUUUGGUAUAGCAAAAGGAAUGUGUUCUCAGUUUUUGAGGACUUGUUUAUGAACAAGAGUGUAGAGCAAGCAGUGGAAAUGGGAGGUAAGGAGUGCUGCGCCAAUUCAUAUGAUGGCUUUCUUCAAUUCAGCACUGUCAUUGUCACAAUCAACAGUCAAAAAUUUACAACCAAUUGCUGGUUGUUUCCCAGCCUUCUUUACUGUCAGAUGUGGGUCUAUUUAUUUAGAAUGCAUGUGGCAAUUAUUGUAAAUAAUCGUGUUUUAACUGGAGCCUUCCAAGUUUACAUUAAAAACAAAUUAAUUAUGCAAAAACAACACUGUGAAAAAUCUAAAUGGCUACUAUAAAUGUGUUUGGCUUUUCGAGGCUCCAUUUCCAGGUGCAAAAGCAAACUGCAGGCCAAAUAUAACAUUGGAAUUCUUCCAAAGUGCCUUUUGAUGUUAUAAUAAUGGAAUUCAUCCUGCUAAUUUCCACUAUUUUUGAAAAUUCAUGUAUUUUUUAGCCAGUAUAGUAAAAGUGAAUCUAAAAUUGUAGAUCAUCUGAAGAAACUGCCCUCAAAACAUUACUUUACCAGAUCUAGAAUUGUCUCAGAAAGCUCAUGGGAAUUAAAUGAAUAAACACUUCCUGUUGUUCCAAAAAGGUUGAUUUAAGCAAUGUAGAGCAGACAGCUUGGGGAUAUUAUUAGGAACAAGGUUAUUUAUCUCAAAUUUGACUUUAGUCUACUUGUACAGCAGAUGAAGAUUGCUACCAAAGAUUGUGAUUCUUUAUAUUAAUUCUCCCAUAAAUGAAUCGUUUUAUUAUUACACUUCCUGACAAGAGAAGAAAAAAAUGCAAUUGCAGUUUUAACUUAAUCAUCCUAAAUAACAGUAAAAAUAACAUUUGAUUCCUUUACUUCCUGAAGAACCCGUAACGUUGAACCUAAGAAAAAAACAGUCAUUAAACAAUAGAAUUAGGCCGCGGAACUGAAAUGUCAUAACGUAACAAACCAUGGGGUCAUUUCUAUCACAAAGCACUUAAGUCAAAAAAGUGCUUAAAAAGAUAUGUGCGUUUGAGCUACGCAUACUCUCCCCUUAUCAGCAUGCACACGCCCACCACACUUAACCUGAAAAAGAUGCUGUGGCCGGGCAAGAAGUAUAAUAAUAACCAAUGAUUCUUGCAACAAGCAAAAUGUGGAACAUGGACUUUUCACUAACAUUGUGAACCUAACUGAAAUCCACAAAACCCUAUUAUUUGGAAAUUGAAAGCAUAGAUGUAGCGUACUAUAUGGUUAUAUUUGGGUGUUCUCACAAAUUGUGAGAAUCCUUUGACAAAAACAAAAUGUUACAGUGAAAUACAGUGUUUGAAUUGUGUGCAGUAAAUUAAAAUGAUGUAAUUUAUAACACUGAUUUAAUGAUUCAUCAGCCAUUUUCCCCAAAUAGGGUUUUAAGAUCAAAAAACACAAAACUAGUUAAAAUGUUUUUAAAUCUUUCAACUUUGCUACUAAUAGAUAAUCAAUGAGUAUAGUAAGACGUACGUUAAUUUCUUCAGUUUUCUUGUAUUGUCUAUUGUUUUACUCUACAACCGAUUAACUACAAGAGGCAAAAUCAACAUUUAAGGGCUACAAUUAAUAAAAAUAACAUAUAAAACCUCAAGAAUAAAGUCGUAAUUUUCAAGAAUAAAGUUGUAAUUUGUGAGAAUAAAGUCAGAAUAAUUCAUGAAUAAAGUUAUAAAAGUCAUAAUUUUUUGGAAUAACACCAAAGGCCACACUCCAGCAGUUACAAAAAUGGAUGGAUGGAUGGAUGGAUGGAUGGAUGGAUGGAUGGCCGCACCCCAAAAAAGUGACUUUUAUCUUGUGACUUUUAUCUUGUGACUUUAUUCUCACACUUUCUCACGCAGAGCACCAUUAGCACAGAAGCCUAAUACAAUGGCAGGGCAGGCACUUAAAUACACAGAAAACUGGGGCAAACAAGGAACAGGUGUAAGACAAUCAAUUAACCAAUCAACAAACACUGGCACAAGGAAACGGGCAACAGGUGGAACUAAUAACUAAUGGGCACAGAAACUAGGGAGCUUUACAAAUACCAAAAACUAGGUAACAUUAACUGGGAAUUAAACACCGGGAAUAAAAUGCAAGGAUAAUCAAACAGAACCAGAAAGGAACAGAACACAAGUACAACCAAGGGCAAGAAAACUAAUAUAGAAAAUAGACACUGAAAAACAAAAUUCAAGAAAUAUAAACAGACAAAGUUAGUUCAAAGGCAGCUUCAAACCCCUGAUCAGCAUGCCUGAACCACACAUUCAGCCUAUUGAGCUAUAUGGCAGUCAGGGAAACAAGAGAAAAUACACAAGGAUGUGAUGAGGAGUGACAGGACGGGAUGGCCAGCGACACCUGCUGGCCAAACAAGGAAGAAACACGAAGGGUACAGGUGCUGACCCUGACAUGUGUCUGCAUUCCAUUGGUGUUGGAUAUAGGGGGAUCAUGUCCACUCCAAUAUCAGCAGAACCCCCUCCCCUUCCUUCCCAAUCAAUAAAUAAAAACAUAAUUAACAGCACGUUGUUUAUCUUUCAUUAUGAAUCCACCCAUUACUAAGGCCAGUUCACUGCGCAUUCAGAGGACAAGGAUGAAACCUAACAAAGAUUGUAGUCAUGAAUCAAACAAAAUCAUUUUAACCUAUGGAUCAAUUUUUUUUAGUUAAGUGAUAUUUGGUUAUAAAACUGUAGCCUUAACUACGUUAAUCUUAUUUUAAAUGAGCAAUAUGAGCUGACAACAGCGAUAAGAGACAGCUAAGAGAGACUCAGGCCAACCUUAUGAAAGAAUGGAAGAUAUACUUAACUAAGAACGUUUCGGGAAAAAUGUCCAAGCGUUAAGAAACAACUUAAGGUAGAACUUACCAAAGACUUACCGUUAGGAAGGUUUCGGGAAACCCACCCUUUCACUUGGUUGCUUGAAGACUAACCCAGACUAAUUUUAUUAUUCAAGCACCGUGCCAUAAGACAGGGAACAAAAAGAAGGGCUUCAAACCAUACAUUUGAAGCAGAAACAGAGUUAGACUUUCUCCAUAUCCUAGGGUACCAGAUCACAUUAUCCAUCUUAGGACCUAAAAUGCCUGAAAUGUCCGGGAUUUGUUUUGUUUUAUGUUUACAUUUGCUUUAUACUAGGGAUGGGCACAUUUUUCCUUAUCCAUUUUUUCCAACUAUAUCGAUAUAAUUGAAAAAUGUGUGUAAAGAAUUCUGUUUUCAUUGGGUCAAACUUCAUUAUUGGAUUAAAAAAAACAAACAAAUCCAUUUUCCCCUUGCAUUAGGCUACUCUGAUAAGCACAUUCCGCCAAAACAUAACACAGAUGCCUUGUACAAGAAGGGGCAAAGCCGUCUCCACCUGCUGAGGAGGCUGAGGUCCUUUGGUGUGUGUAGGAAAAAAGACCUUUUACGACACUAUAGUAGCAUCUGCUAUAUUCUUCGCGGUGGUCUGCUAGGGGUGUAGGAGCUCAGGAAGGGACAGGAAGAGACUGAACAAGCUGGUCAGGAGCGCUGGCUCUGUCCUGGGCUGCUCUUUGGACUCCACUGAGGAGGUGGCUGAGAGGAGGAUGCUGGCCAAGUUUACAUCCAUUAUGGUCAGUCCCACUCACCCCCUGCAUAACACAGUGAGGACAUUACGAAGCUCCUUCAGCAACAGACUACUGCAUCCAACAUGCAAGAAGGAACGCUUCCGCAGGUCCUUCAUUCCAUCUGCCAACAGACUUUAUAACACCUCAGUCACCUAUAGUUCAUAAAUUAUGUCACUAUUCUGUAUAUUGUGUAAUGUCUGCUGCAUGGGCAGACAUCUAUCUAUCUAUCUAUCUAUCUAAUCCAUAGCAAAGUAAUCAUGCUUGUGUUUCUUGCUGAAAGUGAGUAAACUGGUUACUGUUUCAGUUCAUCUUCCAGACAGCGAUCGUUCUUAAUUCCCCUAUAUGGCAAUGACAGCAUACCUUUCUGUCUUUUUUAUGAUUCUUAUUGUUAUUAUUAAACUCCAUCAUUUAGUCUUUGGGCAUCGUUUAUGUUCAUUAUAAAAUAAUGAAUACUACCGAUGCGCUGUUUAUUUGGGAAACAUUUUCUGCUACUGUUUCAACUGGGGAAAAUAAAAGGUGAAAAGAAA